RNAcentral lists this ribosomal RNA (656 nucleotides) under Citrobacter freundii. RNAcentral's name for it is "partial 23S ribosomal RNA". It matches the Rfam family "Bacterial large subunit ribosomal RNA", at positions 613 to 1269 of the family's 2925-position model. The record is from RNAcentral. Lineage: Bacteria; Pseudomonadati; Pseudomonadota; Gammaproteobacteria; Enterobacterales; Enterobacteriaceae.
UAAUGGGUCAGCGACUUAUAUUCUGUAGCAAGGUUAACCGUAUAGGGGAGCCGAAGGGAAACCGAGUCUUAACUGGGCGUUAAGUUGCAGGGUAUAGACCCGAAACCCGGUGAUCUAGCCAUGGGCAGGUUGAAGGUUGGGUAACACUAACUGGAGGACCGAACCGACUAAUGUUGAAAAAUUAGCGGAUGACUUGUGGCUGGGGGUGAAAGGCCAAUCAAACCGGGAGAUAGCUGGUUCUCCCCGAAAGCUAUUUAGGUAGCGCCUCGUGAAUUCAUCUUCGGGGGUAGAGCACUGUUUCGGCUAGGGGGUCAUCCCGACUUACCAACCCGAUGCAAACUGCGAAUACCGAAGAAUGUUAUCACGGGAGACACACGGCGGGUGCUAACGUCCGUCGUGAAGAGGGAAACAACCCAGACCGCCAGCUAAGGUCCCAAAGUCAUGGUUAAGUGGGAAACGAUGUGGGAAGGCACAGACAGCCAGGAUGUUGGCUUAGAAGCAGCCAUCAUUUAAAGAAAGCGUAAUAGCUCACUGGUCGAGUCGGCCUGCGCGGAAGAUGUAACGGGGCUAAACCAUGCACCGAAGCUGCGGCAGCGACACUAUGUGUUGUUGGGUAGGGGAGCGUUCUGUAAGCCGUUGAAGGUGUAUCGUGAGGU